Long non-coding RNA from Phyllostomus hastatus (greater spear-nosed bat), 356 nucleotides. RefSeq lists it as uncharacterized. Lineage: Eukaryota; Metazoa; Chordata; Mammalia; Chiroptera; Phyllostomidae. The record is from RefSeq and is a predicted model, not a curated record. The transcript is spliced from 2 exons.
GAAUCGAACCUACAACCUUUCAGCUAUGGGACUACCAACCAACUGAGCCACACUGGUCAGGAAGUAAUGUAACCAGUGAUACGAAGGAAGCACUCACAUUGCCACCGCCCUAACACAGCUACUCUUAUUAUUUUGGUAUAUUUCCUUUUUGCCAUUUUCUGUGCAGAAUUCUUUUUCUAUAAAAUUACGUGACAACGAAUACUGCUUUCCUCAUGAAAUAUUCGACCACAAACAUUUCCCCUCAUGUUGCCACCUUAUCUUCAAGCUCAUGAAUUUCAAUGGCUGUGCAAUACUGCAACAGUUGGAAUGACUUUACUAUGUAAAUUUACUAUAUAAAUAUAAUAUAAGUUCUCUGA